Long non-coding RNA from Pistacia vera, 794 nucleotides. RefSeq lists it as uncharacterized. The record is from RefSeq and is a predicted model, not a curated record. The transcript has 3 exons. Lineage: Eukaryota; Viridiplantae; Streptophyta; Magnoliopsida; Sapindales; Anacardiaceae.
UACCCUUGGAUCCCCAUGUAAAUAAAACCGGAGACAUCUGGCACAUGCAUAUCAAGGAUCUGCCUCGGAGCAAUAUUCUCUAUUGCAUUGAUUGGGGAGAAAAUUACAAGCUUCCAGUAAAAUUUUCAGUUGCUGGUAGAGGGUUCAAGUAACCACUGAGCAUCAAAAUUUUCAAUUGCUGAUGUUCUUUCCCUGCCGAUAUAUAUGGAAGUAAUAUCUGUUACAAAAGCUUUUCUUGCGAAACUUAUCUGUCUUUUUAUACAUUAGUAGCUGCAGAAGUCCGUGAUUAUUGCAUUUUCAUAUAUUCCUGAAAUAUCUUAUCUGAAAUUUUUUGACGAUUCCACAUCUUUUAGAGCGAAGUGUCAAAGCUGUGGAGUUGCUGCCAGUCUUUGAGUUUUAGUUUCAAAGGCGCCCAAAAAUUUGCUGCCAAUCUUGCUGAAGAUUCUGUAUCGGCAGAUUCAUAAGACGAACCCAGACUUCACAUUGACGGAUGGAUUGAUGGUAACUUGAUAAUAUUGCUAUUAUAAGAUUAUGUACCACCUUAUGCUGUACAAAUUUGUCAACCCAUUUAAUUAUGUCAAUUUAUGUAUGCUGUGUUAUUGCAACCCACCUAUUUGCAUUUUAUUUUAAGAUUCUUGUACAGUAAUGUGUACUAUAUCUGUGGGCCAGUUCUUUUUCAAAUAAUAGUUUUUUUUAUGACUUUUAAGAUUCUUUCCAUGUGUACUUGAAACCCUAGUAUAGAUAUCUAUACCAAAUGAAUGAAUACAAUUUUGUUUGCACUUCACCAUAAUUCC